UCGAGAAUCAUUCACAAUGGGCGAAAGCCUGAUGGUGUGACGCCGCGUGGAGGAUGAAGGUCUUCGGAUUGUAAACUCCUGUCAAGUGAGAGUAAAGCCGGGCGUUAACUGCGCGCCGGUCUGAGAGUAUCACUAGAGGAAGGGACGGCUAACUUCGUGCCAGCAGCCGCGGUAAUACGAAGGUCCCGAGCGUUGUUCGGAAUCACUGGGCGUAAAGGGAGCGUAGGCUGCACGGUAAGUCAGAUGUGAAAGCCCGGGGCUCAACCCCGGAACUGCAUCCGAUACUGCCGUGCUUGAGGACUGGAGAGGAGUCUGGAAUUCACAGUGGAGCAGUGAAAUGCGUAGAUAUUGUGAGGAACACUAGUAGCGAAGGCGAGACUCUGGACAGAACCUGACGCUGAGGCUCGAAGGCCAGGGGAGCAAACG
RNAcentral lists this ribosomal RNA (426 nucleotides) under uncultured Verrucomicrobiales bacterium. Its description in RNAcentral is "bacterial SSU rRNA". It matches the Rfam family "Bacterial small subunit ribosomal RNA", at positions 355 to 774 of the family's 1533-position model. The record is from RNAcentral. Lineage: Bacteria; Pseudomonadati; Verrucomicrobiota; Verrucomicrobiia; Verrucomicrobiales.